AUUGAACGCUGGCGGCAGGCCUAACACAUGCAAGUCGAGCGGCAGCGGGAAAGUAGCUUGCUACUUUUGCCGGCGAGCGGCGGACGGGUGAGUAAUGCCUGGGGAUCUGCCCAGUCGAGGGGGAUAACUACUGGAAACGGUAGCUAAUACCGCAUACGCCCUACGGGGGAAAGCAGGGGACCUUCGGGCCUUGCGCGAUUGGAUGAACCCAGGUGGGAUUAGCUAGUUGGGGAGGUAAUGGCUCACCAAGGCGACGAUCCCUAGCUGGUCUGAGAGGAUGAUCAGCCACACUGGAACUGAGACACGGUCCAGACUCCUACGGGAGGCAGCAGUGGGGAAUAUUGCACAAUGGGGGAAACCCUGAUGCAGCCAUGCCGCGUGUGUGAAGAAGGCCUUCGGGUUGUAAAGCACUUUCAGCGAGGAGGAAAGGUUGGUGGCUAAUAACUGCCAGCUGUGACGUUACUCGCAGAAGAAGCACCGGCUAACUCCGUGCCAGCCGCCGCGGUAA
This 508-nucleotide ribosomal RNA is filed under the name uncultured bacterium. Its description in RNAcentral is "partial 16S ribosomal RNA". It matches the Rfam family "Bacterial small subunit ribosomal RNA", at positions 29 to 523 of the family's 1533-position model. The record is from RNAcentral.